Molecule: ribosomal RNA, 498 nt
Filed under: uncultured bacterium
Lineage: Bacteria
Description: partial 16S ribosomal RNA
Rfam family: Bacterial small subunit ribosomal RNA
Source: RNAcentral
AUUGAACGCUGGCGGCAUGCCUUACACAUGCAAGUCGGACGGUAACAGGUCUUCGGAUGCUGACGAGUGGCGAACGGGUGAGUAAUACAUCGGAACGUGCCUAGUAGUGGGGGAUAACUACUCGAAAGAGUGGCUAAUACCGCAUGAGAUCUACGGAUGAAAGCAGGGGAUCGCAAGACCUUGUGCUACUAGAGCGGCCGAUGGCAGAUUAGGUAGUUGGUGGGAUAAAAGCUUACCAAGCCGACGAUCUGUAGCUGGUCUGAGAGGACGAUCAGCCACACUGGGACUGAGACACGGCCCAGACUCCUACGGGAGGCAGCAGUGGGGAAUUUUGGACAAUGGGCGCAAGCCUGAUCCAGCAAUGCCGCGUGCAGGAUGAAGGCCUCCGGGUUGUAAACCGCUUUUGUCAGGGAAGAAAAGCUCCGGGCUAAUACCUCGGGGUCAUGACGGUACCUGAAGAAUAAGCACCGGCUAACUACGUGCCAGCCGCCGCGGUAA